Molecule: ribosomal RNA, 301 nt
Filed under: uncultured bacterium
Lineage: Bacteria
Description: partial 16S ribosomal RNA
Rfam family: Bacterial small subunit ribosomal RNA
Source: RNAcentral
CAGCCGCCGCGGUAAUACCGAGGGUGCGAGCGUUAAUCGGAUUUACUGGGCGUAAAGCGUGCGUAGGCGGCUUUUUAAGUCGGAUGUGAAAUCCCUGAGCUUAACUUAGGAAUUGCAUUCGAUACUGGGAAGCUAGAGUAUGGGAGAGGAUGGUAGAAUUCCAGGUGUAGCGGUGAAAUGCGUAGAGAUCUGGAGGAAUACCGAUGGCGAAGGCAGCCAUCUGGCCUAAUACUGACGCUGAGGUACAAAAGCAUGGGGAGCAAACAGGAUUAGAUACCCGGGUAGUCCCUGUCUCUUAUAC